This 384-nucleotide ribosomal RNA is filed under the name Ichthyosporea sp. RNAcentral's name for it is "partial small subunit ribosomal RNA". It matches the Rfam family "Eukaryotic small subunit ribosomal RNA", at positions 582 to 975 of the family's 1831-position model. The record is from RNAcentral. Lineage: Eukaryota; Ichthyosporea.
AUUCCAGCUCCAAUAGCGUAUAUUAAAGUUGUUGCAGUUAAAAAGCUCGUAGUUGGAUGUUGGGUUCUAGUUAUGUUCGGUCUCUUCUAGAGUACUGUCAUGCUGGCCCUUUUUCUCGAGGCCUAUAGGUGCACUUAACCGUGUGUUUAUAGUGUUCGGGACUUUUACCGUGAGAAAAUUAGAGUGUUCAUAGCAGGCUAGUGCUUGAAUAUUACAGCAUGGAAUAAUGGAAUAGGAUCAUGAUCUUAUUUUGUUGGUUUCUAGAUUAAGAUAAUGAUUAAUAGGGAUAGUUGGGGGCAUUAAUAUUUAGUUGUCAGAGGUGAAAUUCUUAGAUUUACAAAAGAUUAACUUCUGCGAAAGCAUUUGCCAAGGAUGUUUUCAUUA